GAUGAAGAACGUAGCGAAAUGCGAUAAGUAAUGUGAAUUGCAGAAUUCAGUGAAUCAUCGAAUCUUUGAACGCACAUUGCGCCCCCUGGCAUUCCGGUGGGCAUGCCUGUUCGAGCGUCAUUUCACCACUCAAGCCUCGCUUGGUAUUGGGCAACGCGGUCCGCCGCGUGCCUCAAAUCGACCGGCUGGGUCUUCUGUCCCCUAAGCGUUGUGGAAACUAUUCGCUAAAGGGUGUUCGGGAGGCUACGCCGUAAAACAACCCCAUUUCUAAGGUUGAACUCGGAUCAGGUAGGGAUACCCGCUGAACUUAAGCAUAUCAAUAAGCGGAGGA
This 331-nucleotide unclassified non-coding RNA is filed under the name soil metagenome. Its description in RNAcentral is "partial contains 5.8S ribosomal RNA, internal transcribed spacer 2, and large subunit ribosomal RNA". The stretch from base 1 to 120 matches the Rfam family "5.8S ribosomal RNA", at positions 35 to 154 of the family's 154-position model. The record is from RNAcentral.